AAUCAACGCUGGCGGCGUGCCUCAGACAUGCAAGUCGAACGCGAAAGCCCCCUUCGGGGGGCAAGUAGAGUGGCGCACGGGUGAGUAACACGUAGGUAAUCUACCUUUGGAUUGGGAAUAACAACCGGAAACGGUUGCUAAUACCGAAUAAUGCAGCGGCACCUAAUGGUGACAGUUGUUAAAGCGGGGGAUCGCAAGACCUCGCGUCUGAAGAGGAGCCUGCGGCAGAUUAGCUAGUUGGUAAGGUAACGGCUUACCAAGGCGAUGAUCUGUAGCCGGCCUGAGAGGGCGGUCGGCCACACUGACACUGACAUACGGGUCAGACUCCUACGGGAGGCAGCAGUCGGGAAUUUUGGGCAAUGGGCGAAAGCCUGACCCAGCAACGCCGCGUGAAGGAUGAAAUCCUUCGGGAUGUAAACUUCGCAAGAACGGGAAGAAUAAGUAAGAGUUAAUAUCUCUUACGAUGACGGUACUGUUUGUAAGCUCCGGCUAACUCCGUGCCAGCAGCCGAC
Molecule: ribosomal RNA, 512 nt
Filed under: uncultured bacterium
Lineage: Bacteria
Description: bacterial SSU rRNA
Rfam family: Bacterial small subunit ribosomal RNA
Source: RNAcentral